CGGGGAGGAUGACGACCAGGGAAAUACACCAGAGCGCUCUCUGACAGGGCAUCUGAGGUCGGAGGCUGCGGGCUCUACCCCGGGGCCGAUCCAGUUCAGGGAGGUCAGAAAGGCAGCUCGGAACGCGCCCAACCGGGACUGGAAACGUGUGAAACUCUCGGUUCAGCCCGAUUCCGCCUCGUCCAGGCAGCUUGUCUUGGGGGCACCCUAACCUCUCCGAACCUCAGUUUCCCCAUCUUGGGGUCACUGAAGCCGGAAGUUGUAGAAGCACCUAGGAAGCUACGGGGUCCUGCAUCCGGACCAGUUUCCGGCUUUGCGCUCCCCGUAAGUUACAGAAAAUUCCUCUGUCAAGAUCCCGCCGGCCGGCGAGGGGAGAGGGGCGAGGGGUUGCCGGGAUUCCGGGACGCGGCGACUGAUCUUUUCCGAGAAUCCUCCAAUGGCGGUGCCUUCGGGCAGUGCGAGAGGGGCGUGAGGUUAACUUCCAGGCUUUUCCUUAAAGCGUCCGGCGAAUAACCCGGGUGUUUGCAGAAUUAAUGAGUUGCACAGGAGGCUCAGCGCGGGGGCCCUGACUUGGAGAGCCCGGGUGCAGCGACAGGGACCCAGUCCUGAAGCGCAGGGCGCACCGCCUGGGAUUAGAGGUCGACACUGGCCUUCUCCCAGGUGAAAGAAAAGGGCUGCCAAGUCGUUUGAAGGCUGCACAAACAUUCUUCCUCUCUCGCGUCCCCGGGAAUCAGGGUCUACACCCGCGAGGGCAGGCGGAGGCGGUUACCCCGAGAGUUCCGCUUCAGCAGACGCCUUCCGAUUGAUGAAUUCGGCCAGUUCGCCACUUGAGACCUGCCCGUUUCUGGAUUUUAAUGGCCUUUUUUCCCAGGCAGAGGUGAAAGAAACCCGGGAAGCCUCCUGGAAAUCCCAUUGACUUGGCAGAAAGAAGAGCUGGACGAUGACUAGAAGGUUCCAGAAGACAUCAUGGGGAGACAUCUCAGGAAGGAAAAGUGAAUUAUCCACAGGAAUUCAGGGGCGGUGCUCCCCAUCGAAGGCUGGCAUCAGGAAAGACUCUGAGGUCAGAUCCAGACACGGGAUUGGAGGUGCUGAUAAACUCUGCUGCGGCACAGACUUUGGGGAGAAGGAAACCUAUAGUCCCGAUGAACGACUGCGUUGAUUUGGCGACCAGGUUCACUUGGCAUUUGCAGAGCGAGCUAUUUCAAGAAUGUGCAGAUUCAGUCCUGAAAAUGGCCUAGGAGAAGACUGGCUGGGCUUCAGAGGAGCAGAACAAAUGAGUUCCCCCUGCCCACCCCCCUGCUCCUUGCACCCCAUCCUGCGAUUUCCUUUGUCUCAAUCCAAAAUCCCCCUUUACAUGAUCCCGGAGGCUUCCUAAUAAAAUAGAAC
Bos taurus (domestic cattle) is the source of this 1386-nucleotide long non-coding RNA. The record is from Ensembl. NCBI's taxonomy places the organism in Eukaryota, Metazoa, Chordata, Mammalia, Artiodactyla, Bovidae.